UACGUAGGGGGCAAGCGUUGUCCGGAUUUACUGGGCGUAAAGCGCGCGUAGGCGGUUUGGUCAGUCGGCUGUGAAAUCGCUCGGCUCAACUGGGCGGGGUCGGCCGAUACUACCGAACUGGAGGGCAGCAGAGGGAGACGGAAUUCCCCGAGUAGUGGUGAAAUGCGUAGAGACGGGGAAGAACACCAGUGGCGAAGGCGGUCUCCUGGGCUGUACCUGACGCUGAGGUGCGAAGGCGUGGGGAGCGAACCGG
Molecule: ribosomal RNA, 253 nt
Filed under: uncultured bacterium
Lineage: Bacteria
Description: partial 16S ribosomal RNA
Rfam family: Bacterial small subunit ribosomal RNA
Source: RNAcentral